GAUGAACGCUGGCGGCGUGCCUAAUACAUGCAAGUCGAACGCUGGAACUCUAGCUUGCUAGAUUGAAGGAGUGGCGAACGGGUGAGUAAUACAUAAGCAACCUACCCACGAAGACUGGGAUAAUCUCUGGAAACGGGGACUAAUACCGGAUAGGUAAUCGGAAGGCAUCUUCUGAUUAUUAAAGGUUACAAACACUGGUGGAUGGGCUUAUGGCGCAUUAGUUAGUUGGUGAGGUAACGGCCCACCAAGACGAUGAUGCGUAGCCGGCCUGAGAGGGUGAACGGCCACAUUGGGACUGAGACACGGCCCAGACUCCUACGGGAGGCAGCAGUAGGGAAGUUUCGGCAAUGGGGGAAACCCUGACCGAGCAACGCCGCGUGAGUGAUGACGGCCUUCGGGUUGUAAAGCUCUGUUGUAAGGGAAGAACGGUAGAUAGAGAAUAUCUAAAUGACGGUACCUGACCAGAAAGCCACGGCUAACUACGUG
RNAcentral lists this ribosomal RNA (486 nucleotides) under uncultured bacterium. Its description in RNAcentral is "partial 16S ribosomal RNA". It matches the Rfam family "Bacterial small subunit ribosomal RNA", at positions 28 to 507 of the family's 1533-position model. The record is from RNAcentral.